GACCACACUUUCAUCUGUGACAGGAAGUCAGAUGUCACAGAAGAGGUCCUGCUAUACCGAGACAACACAUUGGGGAGGGAUCCAGAGAGAGAGCCUCAGCUCAGUGCCCAGCCAACAUCCAGCCUCCAGUGCAACCACGUGAGUGAUGGGCUGGGAUAUCAGCUGAGGACCACAGCCCUAGGUGAACAUCUGGACCAUAACUUCAUCACCUUACCAGACCCCUGACCCACAAAGCCAUGCAUGAGCAAAAUAAAAUAAAACACCUCUAAGUUUGGGAAUCA
RNAcentral lists this long non-coding RNA (281 nucleotides) under Sus scrofa (pig). Its description in RNAcentral is "lncRNA (ENSSSCG00015052697.1)". Lineage: Eukaryota; Metazoa; Chordata; Mammalia; Artiodactyla; Suidae. The record is from RNAcentral.